UACGAAGGGGGCUAGCGUUGCUCGGAAUCACUGGGCGUAAAGCGCACGUAGGCGGCUUCUUAAGUCAGGGGUGAAAUCCUGGAGCUCAACUCCAGAACUGCCUUUGAUACUGAGUAGCUUGAGUCCGGGAGAGGUGAGUGGAACUGCGAGUGUAGAGGUGAAAUUCGUAGAUAUUCGCAAGAACACCAGUGGCGAAGGCGGCUCACUGGCCCGGUUCUGACGCUGAGGCGCGAAAGCGUGGGUAGCAAACAGG
RNAcentral lists this ribosomal RNA (253 nucleotides) under uncultured bacterium. Its description in RNAcentral is "partial 16S ribosomal RNA". It matches the Rfam family "Bacterial small subunit ribosomal RNA", at positions 524 to 776 of the family's 1533-position model. The record is from RNAcentral.